RNAcentral lists this ribosomal RNA (478 nucleotides) under uncultured bacterium. Its description in RNAcentral is "partial 16S ribosomal RNA". It matches the Rfam family "Bacterial small subunit ribosomal RNA", at positions 28 to 523 of the family's 1533-position model. The record is from RNAcentral.
GACGAACGCUGGCGGCAUGCCUAACACAUGCAAGUCGAGCGAGCUGAUCCCUUCGGGGUGAAGCUAGCGGCGGACGGGUGAGUAACACGUGGGCAAACUGCCUCAUAGAGGGGAAUAGCCUUCCGAAAGGAAGAUUAAUACCGCAUAAGAUUGUAGCUUCGCAUGAAGCAGCAAUUAAAGGAGCAAUCCGCUAGGAGAUGGGCCCGCGGCGCAUUAUCUAGUUGGUGAGGUAACGGCUCACCAAGGCGACGAUGGGUAGCCGACCUGAGAGGGUGAGCGGCCAGAGUGGUACUGAGACACGGCCCAGACUCCUACGGGAAGCGGCAUUGGGGAAGAUUGCACAAUGGGGGAAACCCUGAUGCAGCAAUGCCGCGGUAGUGAUGUCGGCCUUCGGGUUGUAAAUCUCUGUCUUCGGGGACGAUAAUGACGGUACCCGAGGAGAAAGCCACGGCUAACUACGUGCCAGCAGCCGCCGUAA